RNAcentral lists this unclassified non-coding RNA (335 nucleotides) under soil metagenome. Its description in RNAcentral is "partial contains 5.8S ribosomal RNA, internal transcribed spacer 2, and large subunit ribosomal RNA". The stretch from base 1 to 120 matches the Rfam family "5.8S ribosomal RNA", at positions 35 to 154 of the family's 154-position model. The record is from RNAcentral.
GAUGAAGAACGCAGCGAAAUGCGAUAAGUAGUGUGAAUUGCAGAAUUCAGUGAAUCAUCGAAUCUUUGAACGCACAUUGCGCCCCUUGGUAUUCCAUGGGGCAUGCCUGUUCGAGCGUCAUUUGUACCUUCAAGCUAUGCUUGGUGUUGGGUGUUUGUCCUCUCCCUGCGUUUGGACUCGCCUUAAAGCGAUUGGCAGCCUAUAUUUGGUUUUGAGCGCAGCACAUUUUGCGUCUUACUACUUAUUCUAUAGGCACCCAUUAAGCCUUUUAUCACGUUUGACCUCGGAUCAGGUAGGGAUACCCGCUGAACUUAAGCAUAUCAAUAAGCGGAGGA